UGUCAAAGUUGGCAUGUGAUACCUUUUUCGGAAAGCCCAAAGAGAGCCCUCGGAUGAAAGAAGCAGGACAAUGGAACAUAUGUAUUGAGUUUUUGUCGACUCCAAAUUUUGACCUUUAGUUAAGCGUGCUUGGGCUAGAGUAGUACUAGGAUGGGUGACCUCCCGGGAAGUCCUCGUGUUGCAUCCCUCUUUUUUAUUAAUUUGUUUUUUUUUUGUUAAAAAUUUAUGACUCCAUAACUUCUAGACCG
Molecule: ribosomal RNA, 248 nt
Filed under: Arabidopsis thaliana (thale cress)
Lineage: Eukaryota; Viridiplantae; Streptophyta; Magnoliopsida; Brassicales; Brassicaceae
Source: RNAcentral